This 930-nucleotide ribosomal RNA is filed under the name Russula purpureoverrucosa. Its description in RNAcentral is "partial large subunit ribosomal RNA". It matches the Rfam family "Eukaryotic large subunit ribosomal RNA", at positions 23 to 979 of the family's 3401-position model. The record is from RNAcentral. Lineage: Eukaryota; Fungi; Basidiomycota; Agaricomycetes; Russulales; Russulaceae.
ACCCGCUGACUAGCAUAUCAUAGCGGAGGAAAGAAACCAACCGGGGAUUGCUCAGUACGCGAGUGAAGCGGCAGAGCUCAAAUUGAAAUCUGGCCCCUCCGGGGUUCGAGUGUAAUUUGUAGAGAUGCUUCGGGUGCGCCCCUGUCUAAGUGCCCUGGAACGGGCCAUCGGAGAGGGUGAGAAUCCCGUCUGGGAUGGGGUGUCCGUGCCCGUGUGAAGCUCUUUCGACGAGUCGAGUUGUUUGGGAAUGCAGCUCUAAAUGGGUGGUAAAUUUCAUCUAAAGCUAAAUACUGGCCGGAGACCGAUAGCGCACAAGUAGAGUGAUCGAAAGAUGAAAAGCACUUUGAAAAGAGAGUUAAACAGCACGUGAAAUUGUUGAAAGGGAAGCGCUUGCGACCAGACUCGCCCACGGGGUUCAGCCGGCUUUCGGGCCGGUGUACUUCCCCGGGGGCGGGCCAGCGUCGGUUUGGGCGGCCGGUCAAAGGCCCCCGGAAUGUAACGCCCCUCCGGGGGCGUCUUAUAGCCGGGGGUGUCAUGCGGCCAGCCUAGACCGAGGAACGCGCUUCGGCACGGACGCUGGCAUAAUGGUCGCAAACGACCCGUCUUGAAACACGGACCAAGGAGUCUAACAUCUACGCGAGUGUUCGGGUGGCAAACCCGUGCGCGCAGUGAAAGCGAACGGAGGUGGGAGCCCCCUCGAGGGGCGCACCAUCGACCGAUCCUGAUGUCUUCGGAUGGAUUUGAGUAGGAGCGUAGCUGUGGGGACCCGAAAGAUGGUGAACUAUGCCUGAAUAGGGCGAAGCCAGAGGAAACUCUGGUGGAGGCUCGCAGCGGUUCUGACGUGCAAAUCGAUCGUCAAAUUUGGGUAUAGGGGCGAAAGACUAAUCGAACCAUCUGGUAGCUGGUUCCUGCCGAAGUUUCCCUCAGGAA